This 433-nucleotide ribosomal RNA is filed under the name uncultured bacterium. Its description in RNAcentral is "partial 16S ribosomal RNA". It matches the Rfam family "Bacterial small subunit ribosomal RNA", at positions 29 to 507 of the family's 1533-position model. The record is from RNAcentral.
AACGAACGCUGGCGGCAUGCCUAACACAUGCAAGUCGAACGAGACCUUCGGGUCUAGUGGCGCACGGGUGCGUAACGCGUGGGAACCUGCCCUUAGGUUCGUAAUAACUCCCCGAAAGGGGUGCUAAUACCGGAUAAUGUCUUCGGACCAAAGAUUUAUCGCCUUUGGAUGGGCCCGCGUUGGAUUAGCUAGUUGGUAGGGUAAAAGCCUACCAAGGCGACGAUCCAUAGCUGGUCUGAGAGGAUGAUCAGCCACACUGGUACUGAGACACGGCCCAGACUACUACGGGAGGCAGCAGUGGGGAAUAUUGGAAAAUGGGCGAAAGACUGAUCCAGCAAUGCCGCGUGAGUGAUGAAGGCCUUAGGGUUGUAAAGCUCUUUUACCCGGGAUGAUAAUGACAGUACCGGGAGAAUAAGCGCCGGCUAACUCCGUG